GGAGGGCUGGCCGAGUGGUCGAUGGCGGCUGACUUGAAAUCAGUUGCGGGGUGACCCGCCAGGGGUUCGAAUCCUCUGCCCUCCGCCA
This 88-nucleotide transfer RNA is filed under the name Aminivibrio sp. Its description in RNAcentral is "tRNA-Ser". It matches the Rfam family "tRNA". From Rfam's summary of the family: Transfer RNA (tRNA) molecules are approximately 80 nucleotides in length. Their secondary structure includes four short double-helical elements and three loops (D, anti-codon, and T loops). Lineage: Bacteria; Thermotogati; Synergistota; Synergistia; Synergistales; Aminobacteriaceae. The record is from RNAcentral. RNAcentral also lists the same sequence under 3 other names.